Molecule: long non-coding RNA, 714 nt
Organism: Ochlerotatus camptorhynchus
Lineage: Eukaryota; Metazoa; Arthropoda; Insecta; Diptera; Culicidae
Exons: 2
Source: RefSeq, a predicted model, not a curated record
CGCAACGCAAAACGUUUCAACUGGAGCCGAUAUUGGAAACACGGAAAAGCAAGAUUACAGUUCAGUUUGAUAUAAGCUUCCAACCGAAGCUCCACUCCCGCAUUAGCGCUUAUCACCAUUUUGCGGGCAAGGCCAAUCACCAUUCGCGUUCUUCACCUUAUUUUAUCCAGUGUCUGAAUAACACUGCAGCCCAAAGCAAAAUAUGACAUAGUUAGGCAGCUACAUCUGCCUCGAAUCGUUCAAGUUCAAGCUCAAUCCCGCCUCUGCAGGGAGAUAGUAGUUUUGUGUAUUAGUGUUCUACUGCUUAUCCUCGAAAAGAUGGCAGUACUGGAAGUAGUUACCCGUCCAGCCAGAUCAAUGAUCGAUCAGCUGACCCUCUUAGUGAAGCUACCGGCGGCCACGAUCUACAUUAUCACCAAAGGUGUUUUCCUAAUAAUGAAUACGCUAACAAAGUUUGGACGAAUGAUAAGCCAGUAAAAUACCAUGACCGCGGUUUCAGCAGGAGCACAGAGUUAAAUGCCGUAAACAAAUUGGAGCCAAUUUAUUUCACGCUAUACACAAGUGUGGAUGUGUACGGAGGAAAUAUAAGUGAUAUGUUUAGUUUGUGUUAAUAGCCUUUUGCUGCCAAAUUGCUUGUGCAAGAGCUUAUAGUAUGUAAAGUUUGGAAUAAUAAUAAUAUUUUGAUAAUGAAAUAACAUAUGUAAUCGACAAAUC